ACCGGCAAACGGGUGCGGAACACGUACACAACCUUCCGAUAAGUGGGGAAUAGCCCAGAGAAAUUUGGAUCAAUACCCCGUAACAUAUAGAGUAGGCAUCUUCUUUAUAUUAUAGCUUCGGCGCUUAUUGAUGGGUGUGCGUCUGAUUAGGUAGUUGGCGGGGUAACGGCCCACCAAGCCUACGAUCAGUAGCUGAUGUGAGAGCAUGAUCAGCCACACGGGCACUGAGACACGGGCCCGACUCCUACGGGAGGCAGCAGUAAGGAAUAUUGGACAAUGGGCGAAAGCCUGAUCCAGCCAUGCCGCGUGAAGGAUUAAGGUCCUCUGGAUUGUAAACUUCUUUUAUUUGGGACGAAAAAAGGGAAUUCUUUCCCACUUGACGGUACCAAGUGAAUAAGCACCGGCUAACUCCGUGCCAGCAGCCGCGGUAAUACGGAGGGUGCAAGCGUUAUCCGGAUUCACUGGGUUUAAAGGGUGCGUAGGCGGGUAUGUAAGUCAGUGGUGAAAUCUCGGAGCUUAACUCCGAAACUGCCAUUGAUACUAUAUAUCUUGAAUAUUGUGGAGGUUUGCGGAAUAUGUCAUGUAGCGGUGAAAUGCUUAGAUAUGACAUAGAACACCUAUUGCGAAGGCAGCAGGCUACACAUAUNUUGACGCUGAGGCACGAANNNNUGGGGAUCAAACAGGAUUAGAUACCCUGGUAGUCCACGCCCUAAACGAUGGAUACUCGACAUACGCGANACACUGUGUGUGUCUGANCGAAAGCAUUAAGUAUNCCACCUGGGAAGUACGACCGCANGGUUGAAACUC
This 807-nucleotide ribosomal RNA is filed under the name uncultured bacterium. RNAcentral describes it as "bacterial SSU rRNA". It matches the Rfam family "Bacterial small subunit ribosomal RNA", at positions 94 to 902 of the family's 1533-position model. The record is from RNAcentral.